RNAcentral lists this transfer RNA (60 nucleotides) under Loxodonta africana (African savanna elephant). It matches the Rfam family "tRNA", at positions 7 to 64 of the family's 71-position model. Rfam says of the family: Transfer RNA (tRNA) molecules are approximately 80 nucleotides in length. Their secondary structure includes four short double-helical elements and three loops (D, anti-codon, and T loops). The record is from Rfam by way of RNAcentral. Lineage: Eukaryota; Metazoa; Chordata; Mammalia; Proboscidea; Elephantidae.
GUGGCACAAAUGGUUAAGCAUUUGGCUGCUAACCAAAAGACUGGUGGUUCAGGCCCACCC